RNAcentral lists this ribosomal RNA (253 nucleotides) under uncultured bacterium. RNAcentral describes it as "partial 16S ribosomal RNA". It matches the Rfam family "Bacterial small subunit ribosomal RNA", at positions 524 to 776 of the family's 1533-position model. The record is from RNAcentral.
UACGUAGGGUGCGAGCGUUAAUCGGAAUUACUGGGCGUAAAGGGUGCGCAGGCGGUUAUAUAAGACAGAUGUGAAAUCCCCGGGCUCAACCUGGGAACUGCGUUUGUGACUGCAUAGCUAGAGUACGGUAGAGGGGGAUGGAAUUCCGCGUGUAGCAGUGAAAUGCGUAGAUAUGCGGAGGAACACCGAUGGCGAAGGCAAUCCCCUGGACCUGUACUGACGCUCAUGCACGAAAGCGUGGGGAGCAAACAGG